Molecule: unclassified non-coding RNA, 205 nt
Filed under: Hevea brasiliensis (rubber tree)
Lineage: Eukaryota; Viridiplantae; Streptophyta; Magnoliopsida; Malpighiales; Euphorbiaceae
Source: RNAcentral
GGCCUUCACUAGAAAAACUGCAAAGUAUCCUGGGUCGAGACCAUUGUCGGUUUCUGGUGCAUAUUUGGGCUUAUCACGGGUUGAUGAGAACACUAUCCAAUCUCCUGUUGGGGACCAUUGACAAUGCGUGUCAAUCCAAGGUCCAUUUGUUAGCCUUGUUAUUUUGCCAUUCCCAUAUUCUCCUACUUCUGCAUCCUCCAUUAUG